GGAUGAGUGACCGAGUGGCUUAAGGUAGCGGUUUACUAAACCGCCGUCCCCUUAAAAGGACCGUGAGUUCGAAUCUCACCUCAUCCGCAA
RNAcentral lists this transfer RNA (90 nucleotides) under Candidatus Nomurabacteria bacterium RIFCSPHIGHO2_02_FULL_42_19. Its description in RNAcentral is "tRNA-Ser". It matches the Rfam family "tRNA". From Rfam's summary of the family: Transfer RNA (tRNA) molecules are approximately 80 nucleotides in length. Their secondary structure includes four short double-helical elements and three loops (D, anti-codon, and T loops). Further hydrogen bonds mediate the characteristic L-shaped molecular structure. tRNAs have two regions of fundamental functional importance: the anti-codon, which is responsible for specific mRNA codon recognition, and the 3' end, to which the tRNAs corresponding amino acid is attached (by aminoacyl-tRNA synthetases). tRNAs cope with the degeneracy of the genetic code in two manners: having more than one tRNA (with a specific anti-codon) for a particular amino acid; and 'wobble' base-pairing, i.e. permitting non-standard base-pairing at the 3rd anti-codon position. Lineage: Bacteria; Candidatus Nomuraibacteriota. The record is from RNAcentral.